AAUUGUUUUUGUAAGUACGUCGCAAACUACGUGGAUUUGGAACAUAGACCUCAUAUGGAGACCGACCAUUUUCAAUCACCCAUAUGGUACCGGAUUCUGCGAUUCUCAGUAUUGACAUUAGACCCUGAGCUACCACAUACGGACUAAUUCUGUUCGAGAUUUUUUACGAAGUCCGCCUUCAUAACACGAGAAAGUAAUCUGUUUGGACUGUUCACUGUGAGGGCGGUUUCUGUCAGACCAGGACACAGAGUUAUCACACGAACGCCAGUCUUUUCGUACUGGCUGAUUAUAAUCUCUGAAGGAAAGCAAACGAUAUACGAAAUAAAAAACAAAUUAAGGUAUUGAGAAUGAAUGAUAUUUAAUAAUAAAUCUCAUCAUCAUCAGUCAUUUUUCUUUUUUCUUUUUUUUAUAUUAACAACUAAUAAUAACAAAUAUUUUAACGACAGUACUUUUAAAAUUACGAAAUGUAUAUCAUUCGAUUAGUUCAGACAAAUAAAUA
Bombus huntii is the source of this 499-nucleotide long non-coding RNA. RefSeq lists it as uncharacterized. NCBI's taxonomy places the organism in Eukaryota, Metazoa, Arthropoda, Insecta, Hymenoptera, Apidae. The record is from RefSeq and is a predicted model, not a curated record. The transcript has 3 exons.